UACGGGGGGUGCAAGCGUUGUUCGGAAUUAUUGGGCGUAAAGGGCAGGUAGGUGGUCUUAGAAGUCAACUGUGAAAUCCCCGAGCUUAACUUGGGAAGUGCGGUUGAUACUCUUAGACUAGAGUGCUGGAUGGGUGCGUGGAAUUCUCGGUGUAGCGGUGAAAUGCGUAGAUAUCAAGAGGAACACCUGCGGCGAAGGCGGGUUGCUGGGCCGACACUGACGCUGAAGCGCGAAAGCUAGGGGAGCGAACGGG
RNAcentral lists this ribosomal RNA (253 nucleotides) under uncultured prokaryote. RNAcentral's name for it is "partial 16S ribosomal RNA". It matches the Rfam family "Bacterial small subunit ribosomal RNA", at positions 524 to 776 of the family's 1533-position model. The record is from RNAcentral.